UACGUAGGUGGCAAGCGUUGUCCGGAAUUAUUGGGCGUAAAGCGUACGCAGGCGGUUUCUUAAGUCUGAUGUGAAAGCCCACGGCCCAACCGUGGAGGGUCAUUGGAAACUGGGAGGCUUGAGUAUAGGAGAGAAGAGUGGAAUUCCACGUGUAGCGGUGAAAUGCGUAGAGAUGUGGAGGAACACCAGUGGCGAAGGCGACUCUCUGGUCUGUAACUGACGCUGAGGAGCGAAAGCGUGGGGAGCGAACAGG
RNAcentral lists this unclassified non-coding RNA (253 nucleotides) under uncultured Bacillaceae bacterium. RNAcentral's name for it is "contains 16S-23S intergenic spacer region". It matches the Rfam family "Bacterial small subunit ribosomal RNA", at positions 524 to 776 of the family's 1533-position model. The record is from RNAcentral. Lineage: Bacteria; Bacillati; Bacillota; Bacilli; Caryophanales; Bacillaceae.